RNAcentral lists this unclassified non-coding RNA (281 nucleotides) under fungal sp. Its description in RNAcentral is "partial internal transcribed spacer region". The stretch from base 1 to 46 matches the Rfam family "Eukaryotic small subunit ribosomal RNA", at positions 1786 to 1831 of the family's 1831-position model. Lineage: Eukaryota; Fungi. The record is from RNAcentral.
AAGUCGUAACAAGGUUUCCGUAGGUGAACCUGCGGAAGGAUCAUUAUUGAAUUGUAAAGGGGGGUUGUUGCUGGCCUCUCAUCUGAUAGGCAUGUGCACGCCCCUUUUCACAUCCACCCACACCCUGUGCACCCUUUGUAGUUCCAAAAUGGGAGGGCCUCUAAGGCUUUCACAAUCUGGCACUACGUCUCUUUACAAACACCUUCUGUAUAGAAUGCCAACUCAGCGUAUUUAAACGCAGAAAUGUGAAACAACUUUCAGCAACGGAUCUCUUGGCUCUC